CAAGGACAUUACCGCGGCUGCUGGCACGUAGUUAGCCGGGGCUUCUUAGUCAGGUACCGUCAUUUUCUUCCCUGCUGAUAGAGCUUUACAUACCGAAAUACUUCUUCACUCACGCGGCGUCGCUGCAUCAGGGUUUCCCCCAUUGUGCAAUAUUCCCCACUGCUGCCUCCCGUAGGAGUUUGGGCCGUGUCUCAGUCCCAAUGUGGCCGGUCACCCUCUCAGGUCGGCUACUGAUCGUCGGCUUGGUGGGCCGUUACCCCGCCAACUACCUAAUCAGACGCGGGUCCAUCCUGUACCACCGGAGUUUUUCACACCGGACCAUGCGGUCCUGUGCGCUUAUGCGGUAUUAGCAGUCAUUUCUAACUGUUGUCCCCCUGUACAGGGCAGGUUACCCACGCGUUACUCACCCGUCCGCCACUCAGUCAUCCCGGAUUCCAUCCGAAAACUUCCUCGGCAUGCUUCGUUCGACUUGCAUGUGUUAGGCACGCCGCCAGCGUUCAUCCUGACGCCAGGUA
RNAcentral lists this ribosomal RNA (515 nucleotides) under uncultured Lachnospiraceae bacterium. RNAcentral describes it as "partial 16S ribosomal RNA". The record is from RNAcentral. Lineage: Bacteria; Bacillati; Bacillota; Clostridia; Lachnospirales; Lachnospiraceae.